Molecule: long non-coding RNA, 348 nt
Filed under: Homo sapiens (human)
Lineage: Eukaryota; Metazoa; Chordata; Mammalia; Primates; Hominidae
Description: non-protein coding lnc-IRAK3-4:1
Source: RNAcentral
CUCAGAAUGAAUGAACAGGGGCUAGUGAAUAGUGAACGUAUCCUAAGUGCUGUUAUUUGGGAGAACUGGUGCAAGAAAGCAUGUCGCUAUCCACAUCAGAGUACCUCAGGUGUACUCACAAAUCUCAGCGAUGUGUAGAUAGAAUAAUACAUGCCUAUAUUCAGACAUGAGAGUGAGGACUGGAAGCAAAUAAUCCAUCGAAAAGCUCAGGCUUCAAAUCCAUCUUUUAUAAUGCCAAAGAAAUAAGAAGUAUUCUCUAAUACUCGAUUGGAAAGUUAGGCAGGCAGAAAAACAUUCCCUCGGAUGUUUCACUCAAAAGAGGAGAGUUUUGCUCUACACAUACAAUAG